Molecule: unclassified non-coding RNA, 507 nt
Filed under: Hevea brasiliensis (rubber tree)
Lineage: Eukaryota; Viridiplantae; Streptophyta; Magnoliopsida; Malpighiales; Euphorbiaceae
Source: RNAcentral
AGAACCGUACAUGGGAUGAUUGCCAAUUUUGUCAUCUGAUAGAAACCAACAGAGUUGAAACCCAAGCUAAGAUUCAAAAGCCCGAUGGAUAUCCCAUUUAAUAUGCCAAAUCCCAUCACAGCUCUUGCAUCAAAAGGCUUGUGUUCAAACAAUUUCAUCCAUAAAGCCACAUGAAGAGAACAAAAUGUGACCAGAAGAUGCCAGCUUGUUAAUGUUGUGGCAAAAGUGAAACCGAGAGUACUAAUGAGAGCCUUGUUGCAUAUCACAAUCGAAACCGACGAUACAACUGAUAAACUCAGAGCACCCAGAGUCCCCAGCUGGAACCUCUGGCUCUCACUCAUCUUCACUUUCUCUCUGUCUGUAUGUGGCUAUUCCCUUCUAUUCACUCCCUCCUCGAUCCGGAUCUAAUUCAGGUCAUGAGAUUCCUGGAUUGUUAAGUAGGAAGGAUGGAUUAAGAUGGAGAGAAAGAAAAUGAGAAAAUUUUGAGAAGGAAAUGACGAAAUUAAC